RNAcentral lists this unclassified non-coding RNA (310 nucleotides) under plant metagenome. RNAcentral's name for it is "partial contains 5.8S ribosomal RNA, internal transcribed spacer 2, and large subunit ribosomal RNA". The stretch from base 1 to 105 matches the Rfam family "5.8S ribosomal RNA", at positions 50 to 154 of the family's 154-position model. The record is from RNAcentral.
GAAAUGCGAUAAGUAGUGUGAAUUGCAGAAUUCAGUGAAUCAUCGAAUCUUUGAACGCACAUUGCGCCCCUUGGUAUUCCAUGGGGCAUGCCUGUUCGAGCGUCAUUUGUACCCUCAAGCUCUGCUUGGUGUUGGGUGUUUGUCCCCGUCUCCGCGCGUGGACUCGCCCCAAAGUGAUUGGCAGCCGGCGUACUGGUCCCGGAGUGCAGCACAUGUCGCGCAAACGAGUGCCUUGGUACGGCGGCGUCCAUAAGCCCCUCUCUCACGCUCUUGACCUCGGAUCAGGUAGGGAUACCCGCUGAACUUAAGC